GAAUUCAAGAACUUCACCGGAUACAUGAACUCUUGUUCAGUUAUAUAUAUUAUCAUUUGCAAUAUCCAUUUGUUGAAUUCAAAUGCCAAUAAAUUAAGUUGAGCAGAUGAUGAAGUGUCAACGAUCAUACUUUUAGAAAACAUAAAGAUCUUGAAGAAACCAACAAUGUCUUUUAGUGUUCUAUCAAGGGAUUCAAAUGCCAACCUUUUAGUCAUAGGUGUUUCAUUCCAAAUAAUCAAAUCUAUUUGAAUUAUUAAUUGAGCAAGCUGAGUAUUUUACUUGAUUAAGCUCGUACUAUCUUCAAAAACAUCUAGAGGUAUUUUAAAUCGACUAUGAGUGUUGUACCUCAAGGUAGUAAUUAAUAAUGAUACGCUCCCUGGAAUUUUUAAAAAAAAUAAAAGAUUAGAGUACAAUGAAUUUAAUACAUAUUAAUAUAGUGUGAUUAUUUAGUUUGUAAAAAUGUAUUUUUAAGUUACUAAAAAAAUGUAUUAUUAAGUUCAAUCAUCAUUGAUUAAAUAAAAAGAUAAAUAUUUGUUAAAUAUUUUUUAGUAAGAAUAAUUCAAAUAUUUAUCAUCAAUAACAAAAGUAAAUAUUAAAAUUACGUUUUAGUUUUGUAAAUAGAACAAAAAAAUUACAAAAUUAAGAAUUUUAAAAUAUGAAACCAUGACAAAUUAAUAUUAUGGCUAAAUAUUUUUUUAAAAAAAAGGCAACCACCGUAAAAAAAAAAAAAAAGAAGGCAGCCACACAAUAGGAGUAAGUCCACAUUGAAUUAAAAAAAAAUUGACAAAAAAAAUAAAUAAAUAAAAAAUAACAAAUAUAUGAGAAAAGGGAGAGUGAGACACGCUUCCCCUUUUUGUCAAAACAAAAACCCUAGCCACCACACCUGGCCUCUCCUCUUCUCCUCCUCCUUCCCUUACGACCACGAAACCACCAGCCAGGCCUCCGACAACUUCCGUCGGACAUGCGACCCACACCACUGACCCCCGUCCCACCCAAUUUUGUUUCUUUGUCAAACUUGUGUUGCACAGGACAAAUGACCACCGCUGCGUGACUUCCAGCGAGGCCCAUAGAGUUCAUAAUUGUAGACUAAAGUAGUAGUGUUACCAUGAUAUUCUCUCUAUGGUAUGGUCAUAUAAUGGAGUUUGAAUUGAAGGUUCCUCCUCUCCCUCCAUGUCAUUGAUUUGUGGAGGAAGUAUACUAUCUAGGCUCAUUCUGUGGUGGUAUCGAGCAAGGAGGGAGUAACUGUGAGUGUUUCAGCUUGACAUAUAUAUGUUUUUGGUUUCUGAUUUUAUUGUUAGUGUUAGUAAAUUUGAAGAACCUUGUGUAGAAAUGAAAUUUCUCUUUUUAUAGGAUAUAGAUUGACUUUUGUUCUAUGAGAUAUUCAUAUAGAAAAGCAUAAGAUAGAUAUAGAGUAGUUAUUUACCUGAUGAAGCCACAUCAAGCACAAUCUUUUUUUUCCAGCCCUGAGCCUUGCAAUGAUUGUCCUAUAGAGAAAUUCAAGAGAACUAAGUUUAGUGAUAAUAAAAUGUUAGUAAAAGACAAUAAAAAAUUGAAACCUUCUUGUCAAUUAGAUUUAGAACCAUAUCAGUGAUUUUUUUUCCUAUAUAUAUUCAGAGUGUCCUAUAUCCAUGAUACUCGUACUUCUUGUAAGAUCAAGAUUUGGUCAUGUGGUACAACUCUAUGUUUUGAUGAUAACAAGUAUUUAUUUGUGGAUGAACAACUAUGAUACUCUAAUGUUUGUCUUGAGUGUUUUGACAAACAGGUUCUGAUUCUGACACCAGAAGAUAUAUUCGUCAGAAGAUCUGAAGAUCAGAGGAUCUGAAGAUCAGAGGAUCAGAGGAUCAGAAGAUCAGAGGAUCAGAAGAUCUGAGGAUCAGAAGAUCUGAAGACCAGAAGCUCUGAGGGACCAGAGGCUCUGAAGGUUCAGAAGCUCUGAAGGUCCAGAAGCAGAAGUUACGAAGGUCAGAGGAUCCAAGCAUCCCUCUGACUCUGAUCACCAAGCUUCACAAGUUCCAACACGAAGCAUUCCUCUGAUCAGAAGUCAUUGGUUAAAGGCAAAUGUCUCUAUCAAGAAGUACAAGAGCAGUGUACUAUUCUGAAAAGCCUACCUACCAAGGUUCAGCCACAGCAGGUUCUGGAAGUUCCAGAAAUGCCCUCCAACGGUCAUAUUCUCUCAACAGAAAUAUCCUUUGCACCUUGGACUAUAAAAGGCUGAAGAAAAGAAGAAAGCAAAGUGAGAGAAAACAAAGAGCUGCAAUACAAGAAAAGAUUCAAGCCUCUACUUUCUUCAUCUAUUCUUAUUUAGUUUACACUCAGCUUAUUUAGAAGCAAACCUUUGUAAACACCAACCUCAAACAGUUGUUUGAUUUUCCUUAAGGGACCGGGUAGGUCA
This is an RNA transcript of Lotus japonicus, 2392 nucleotides long. It is a transcript of the gene named non-specific lipid-transfer protein 1-like, with no coding region annotated. The record is from RefSeq and is a predicted model, not a curated record. NCBI's taxonomy places the organism in Eukaryota, Viridiplantae, Streptophyta, Magnoliopsida, Fabales, Fabaceae. The transcript is spliced from 2 exons.